UCUCUCAUAAAGAUGGAUUUCAACCCGAAUUUCCUCGUUUGGGAUCGAUUCAGGAAUUUUAGUGUUCCUCUCUUCAACAUUUACAGAGUAUGUUGUACAAUGUAAUAAAAUAUAUUUAUUUUUAAAUGCAUGUUCAAGAUCAUUUUCAGCACUUAUUUUGAUUAUUUAAUAGUUGCAUGCAGUGGACUGUGCCUGAGACGAUUCCCAUAGCGCCGGCGAAUAGUCAGCUUGUAUAAAUGGAAUCUGAAUGCUCACAAGAAGGACAAAUGCAGUAUGGAAAUUAACACAAAGAAAUUGUGCCAGAAAAGUAAGUGUCUACGGGAACAAUCAACAUCGAACUUUCUGAGCCUUCCUACUUAAACUAAAGUGAAUUCAUU
Molecule: long non-coding RNA, 377 nt
Organism: Saccostrea cuccullata (small rock oyster)
Lineage: Eukaryota; Metazoa; Mollusca; Bivalvia; Ostreida; Ostreidae
Exons: 3
Source: RefSeq, a predicted model, not a curated record